This 603-nucleotide ribosomal RNA is filed under the name Triticum aestivum (bread wheat). RNAcentral describes it as "partial small subunit ribosomal RNA". The record is from RNAcentral. Lineage: Eukaryota; Viridiplantae; Streptophyta; Magnoliopsida; Poales; Poaceae.
AUGUCCGCCUCUGGUGGGAUCCCGCCUCCAUGCGCGGCCACGUCUGGCUCGACGCUAGCGCGCCCGGCGCGCCGGGGCCCAGCGCUGCCGGGGAGGACUAGCUCCUGCCGAUCCGGGUGUCCGAGGACACCUCGCGCUUCCGGUACACCAACCCGACGGGCCACCCUUCUGGGCUCCGGAUCACGCGCAUCGCUGCCGAGGCCGUGCGGCUUGUGGGAGGCGGGGGCGCGCGGUGGGUGGUGCUCGUGGACGACGACACCGUGCUGUCCCCGGACAACCUGGUGGUGUGCUCGGGAAGUACGACUGGAGGGAGAUGGUGUACGUCGGGGCCUCGUCGGAGAGCCACUCGGCCAACACCUAUUUCAGCCACGGCCCCUCGCCGCUGUGCUCGCGCGGACACUCGACGUGUGCAUCGAGAGGUACCCCAGGCUGUAUGGAAGCGACGACCGCCUCCAUGCUUGCAUCACGGAGCUUGGCGUACCCCUUUCGCGCGAAUAUGAAUUCCAUCAUGUAUGUUUGGGUGUUCAUAUUUUUGAUAGACAAACACUAAUAGGUGCACUUGACUGUUUGAGGAAAUGCCAACUGAAAGCGAAAUUCAGUUAG